CUGUCCGUAGCGCAGCUUGGGUAGCGCGGGUCACUUGGGAUGAUCAGGUCGUUGGUUCAAAUCCAACCGGACAGA
RNAcentral lists this transfer RNA (75 nucleotides) under Escherichia phage Av-05. It matches the Rfam family "tRNA". From Rfam's summary of the family: Transfer RNA (tRNA) molecules are approximately 80 nucleotides in length. Their secondary structure includes four short double-helical elements and three loops (D, anti-codon, and T loops). Further hydrogen bonds mediate the characteristic L-shaped molecular structure. tRNAs have two regions of fundamental functional importance: the anti-codon, which is responsible for specific mRNA codon recognition, and the 3' end, to which the tRNAs corresponding amino acid is attached (by aminoacyl-tRNA synthetases). tRNAs cope with the degeneracy of the genetic code in two manners: having more than one tRNA (with a specific anti-codon) for a particular amino acid; and 'wobble' base-pairing, i.e. permitting non-standard base-pairing at the 3rd anti-codon position. The record is from Rfam by way of RNAcentral. Lineage: Duplodnaviria; Heunggongvirae; Uroviricota; Caudoviricetes.